This 240-nucleotide ribosomal RNA is filed under the name uncultured bacterium. RNAcentral's name for it is "partial 16S ribosomal RNA". It matches the Rfam family "Bacterial small subunit ribosomal RNA", at positions 28 to 262 of the family's 1533-position model. The record is from RNAcentral.
GAUGAACGCUAGCGGCAGGCUUAAUACAUGCAAGUCGAGGGGCAGCACGAAUAGCAAUAUUUGGUGGCGACCGGCAAACGGGUGCGGAACACGUACGCAACCUUCCUUUAAGUGGAGAAUAGCCCGGGGAAACCCGGACGUUAAUACUCCGUAACAUUAUAAAGUAGGCAUCACUUAGUAAUUAUAGAUUUAUCGCUUAAAGAUGGGCGUGCGCCUGAUUAGGUAGUUGGCGGAGUAAAG